AGGGCAGUAGUUCCAACGGCAGAACGUCGGUCUCCAAAACCGAAUGUUGGGGGUUCGAAUCCCUCCUGCCCUGCCA
RNAcentral lists this transfer RNA (76 nucleotides) under Balneatrix alpica. RNAcentral's name for it is "tRNA-Trp". It matches the Rfam family "tRNA". From Rfam's summary of the family: Transfer RNA (tRNA) molecules are approximately 80 nucleotides in length. Their secondary structure includes four short double-helical elements and three loops (D, anti-codon, and T loops). The record is from RNAcentral. RNAcentral also lists the same sequence under 2 other names. Lineage: Bacteria; Pseudomonadati; Pseudomonadota; Gammaproteobacteria; Oceanospirillales; Balneatrichaceae.